UGGUGGAGUGAUUUGUCUGGUUAAUUCCGUUAACGAACGAGACCUCGACCUGCUAAAUAGUUUGCUUUAUCCCCCGGGAUAGGCGUGAACUUCUUAGAGGGACUAUCGGUGUGUAGCCGGUGGAAGUUCGAGGCAAUAACA
Molecule: ribosomal RNA, 141 nt
Filed under: uncultured eukaryote
Lineage: Eukaryota
Description: partial 18S ribosomal RNA
Rfam family: Eukaryotic small subunit ribosomal RNA
Source: RNAcentral